Oryza punctata is the source of this 206-nucleotide non-coding RNA. NCBI's taxonomy places the organism in Eukaryota, Viridiplantae, Streptophyta, Magnoliopsida, Poales, Poaceae. The record is from Rfam.
AGUAAGUGCAAUUUUACACGGUUUAUGUUCAACGUUUGACUGUCCGUUUUAUUUGAAAAUUUUUUAUGAUUAGUAUUUCUGUUGUUAUUAGAUGAUAAAUCAUGAAUAGUACUUUAUGUGUGAUUAUUUUUUUAAUUUUUUCAUAAAUUUUUCAAAUAAGACGGACGGUCAAACGUUGGACACGGAUAUCUACGGUUGCGCUUAUU